This is a long non-coding RNA of Catharus ustulatus (Swainson's thrush), 3205 nucleotides long. RefSeq lists it as uncharacterized. The transcript is spliced from 3 exons. The record is from RefSeq and is a predicted model, not a curated record. Lineage: Eukaryota; Metazoa; Chordata; Aves; Passeriformes; Turdidae.
AAAAAGGGAAUAAAAAAUGAAGAAGGAAAUUAAAAUGCCAUUAAAAGUUCUGAAGCUGCUUUGGGGCUCUGGGGGGGCAGUAGCACCAGCAAGGGGCCAGAUCCACAAAAUCCAGGGGAUGGAAAAGGCAAAUCCCAGCUGGAGCACAGCAGGGUUUGGGGACAACUGGGAAAAUCCAGAAUUCCAGUUUAAAACUGGGAGAAAUCCAGAAUUCCAUCAUUUGGGGUAAAACUGGGAAAAUCCAGGAAUUACAUAAUUUGGGUAAAACUGAGAGAAAUCCAGAAUUCCACAAUUUAAAACUGGGAAAAUCCAGAAUUCCAGUUUAAAACUGGAAAAAUCCAGAAUUCCAAAGUUUAAAACUGGGAGAAAUCCAGAAUUCCAUUUUACAUCUGGGAGAAAUCCAGACUCCCACAGUUUAAAACUGGGAAAAUCCAGAGUUCCCCAAUCCAGAAAUCCCCUUAAACCCCUCUGACCCUGCCAAACACCUUGAAACCCCAAAAAGCUCUGAACACACUUAAAUCCCUCUCUGAAACCCCAAAAAUCACCCCCUGAACCCCCAAAUCUGCUCUGAAUUCCCUUUCUGACCCCCUGCCCCCCUCCUCUGAACCUCUUUGAGCCCAUUUAAGGUCCCUGAGCCCCCUUUUAAACCCUCUCAAAUCUCCUGAACUCACUUAAACCCCUCUUGAGCCCCAAAAAAAGCUCUUUAAACCCCCUUAAACCCCUUUUAAACUCCUCUGAACACCAAUAAAACCCCUUGGAAUGGCUAAAAAUGCCCCUGACACCCUUAAACCCUGCUUGAAUCCCCUUAAAUUCCCUCUAAAGCCCCUAAAACCCCCUGAACAUCCUUGAUUCCCUAAAAGACCCUUUAAUUAUCUUUAUGAACCCUUUUAGAUCCAACUGAACUCCUUUUAGCUCCCCUUAAACGUCUCUGAACCCCAUAAAACUCCCCCAAAAAAACCCUACACACCCCAUAACCCCUAAAAACCCCACUCUGAACCUUCCUGAACUCCCCUUAACCCCCUAAAAAUCCCUUCUGAGCCUCCUUAAUCCCCUUUUUAAACCUCUCCUAAACCCCCUGAACCCUUUCAACCCCCCAAAAAAACCCUGCACAUCCCACAACCCUUAAAAACCCCACUUUGAACUCCCUUUAACCCCCUAAAAAAUCCUUCUGAGGCUCCUUAAACCCCUUUUUAAACCUCUCCUAAACCCCCUGAACCCUUUCAACCCCCCAAAAAUCCCCUCCACACCCCACAACCCCUAAAGACCCCACUCUGAGCCCCCUUAAACCCCUUUUAAACCCCUCCUGAAUCCCCUUUUUAACCCCCCACGGGUCCAGGUGACCUCCAGGAGCACCAGGGACCCUCAACCCCCAAAAUUUGGGGGGGGGGGUCAGACCCCAGUGUGGGAAAACUGCUGGGAAAGCCAAAGGUGAAAUCAAAAAGUCAAAGGAAAACCAAGGGGUGACACCAGCUGGGUUUGGGGGAUUUGGGGCCCUGUGGGGUCCCACAGGGUCUGGGAGCAUCCAGGUGAGCAGGUCCUGAAGGCACAGACCCCAGCAGGUGAGCAGAGCCAGGGGCUGAGUGUCCAGCUGAGCAGAGCCAGGGUCUGAGAGUGUCCAGGUGAGCAGAUCCAUGAUCUGUGAGUGUCCAGGUGAGCAGAUCCCCACUCUGCAGGGUCCAGGUGAGCAGAUCCAGGUGAGCAGAUCCCACCAGGUGAGCAGAUCCAGGGUCUGGGAGUGUCCAGGUGAGCAGAUCCCCCAAUCUGCAGAGUCCAGGUGAGCAGAUCCAGGUGAGCAGAGCCCCCACUCGGCAGGGUCCAGGUGAGCAGAUCUGAGGUCUGGGAACAUCCAGGUGAGCAGGUCCUGAAGGCACAGACCCCAUCAGGUGAGCAGAUCUGAGGUCUUGAGAGUGUCCAGGUGAGCAGAUCCAGGGUCUGGGAGUGUCCAGGUGAGCAGAUCCCCCACUCUGCAGGGUCCAAGUGAGCAGAUCCAGGUGAGCAGAUCCAGGUGAGCAGAUCCCACCAGGUGAGGUCUAAGAGUGUCCAGGUGAGCAGAUCCAUGAUCUGUGAGAUCCCCCACUCUGCAGGGUCCAGGUGAGCAGAUCCAGGUGAGCAGAUCCAGGUGAGCAGAUCCCACCAGGUGAGCAGAUCCAGGGUCUGGGAGUGUCCAGGUGAGCAGAUCCCCCACUCUGCAGGGUCCAAGUGAGCAGAUCUGAGGUCUGAGAGUGUCCAGGUGAGCAGAUCCCCCACUCUGCAGGGUCCAGGUGAGCAGAUCCCAGAAUCCAGCAGUGCCCAGGUGAGCAGAUGCACAUCCCCAGCCUGGGCUGGAGAACAGGCAGCCCCACCCCACAUCCUCAUUUCCCCCCAUUCCUGCCUCCUCCCAGGCUGGAAUUGCUCCUGGCCCAGGUUGAUCUCACCUGGCUGGGGCCAAAAAAGGGGGAAAAAUCCAGAAAUGAGAAGUUCCAGCCCAAAACAGAUCCCAGAGCCUCAGGAAGCUCUGAAGCACAGGUGGGUUUGCCACGAAUUCUACUCCAGGUGACUCUGGAGAAUCCACACCUGGAGAACCUGAACCCAUCCCAGUCUGACCAGUUUGAUGCCACUGGAGAUGCCCAGAGGCAGAAGGAGCUCAGGUGAGCAGGAAGCACCUGAGGAGCAGCACAGGGAACUGCAGGUGCUCCAGGGAGAGUUGUGCAGGAGCAGCACAUCCAUGGAUACCUGUGCACACCUGCAGGGCUGCAAUGGCAGGAACAGGUUCCUUGGGAAACACCUGGAUGGAUGGAGCUCACCUGGGAUGGGCAAGGAGCCAACUGAGAGCUCAGGGAUCAGGCAGGACAGGGCCAGGUGACACUGAGGCACAUCUGUGCACACCUGCAGGGCUCUGAUCCCGCUGGAAUUGGUCCAGGAUCACAGGUAGGGACAGGGACAUUCCCAAAUCCUGGUCCUUGGAAGGCUCCAAGCCCCAACAGCUGCUGCAGGGAUAUCCCAGCAGGUGAAUGAACAUUCCAGAAGGUUCUGACAGGUACAGGUGAUCAAUGCCAGGUGAUGGAGGAGCCAACGAGGAGAUGAAGUUGAUUCAAACCCCCCUCCAAAAUUUUCCAGGUGAGUUUGGGGAUUCCAGUCUUGGGUCUCUUGUUCCAGGUGUGUCCCAAUCCAUCCCACUGCAGGUGAGUGGGAGCAGCACCAGGCCCAGGUGAGACAUUCAUGAAAC